Molecule: ribosomal RNA, 1455 nt
Filed under: metagenome
Description: SSU rRNA
Rfam family: Eukaryotic small subunit ribosomal RNA
Source: RNAcentral
GUUUUGAUGAUUCAUAAUAUCUUUACGAAUCGCAUGACCUUGUGUCGGCGAUGAAUCAUUCAAGUUUCUGCCCUAUCAACUUUUGAUGGUAGUGUGUUGGACUACCAUGGUGAUAACGGGUAACGGAGGAUUAGGGUUUGAUUCCGGAGAGGGAGCCUGAGAAACGGCUACCACAUCUAAGGAAGGCAGCAGGCGCGCAAAUUACCCAAUCUCAAAUCGAGGAGGUAGUGACAAUAAAUAACAAUGCAGGGCUAUUAUAGUCUUGCAAUUGGAAUGAGAACAAUGUAAAUGCCUUAACGAGGAACAAUUGGAGGGCAAGUCUGGUGCCAGCAGCCGCGGUAAUUCCAGCUCCAAUAGCGUAUAUUUUUGUUGUUGUAGUUGAAAAGCUCGUAGUUGGAUUUGAGAAUGGAGAUACUGGUCUGCUACUUUGUAGUGUGUACUGGUUUUUGUGUUCUUUUAUUUGAGAAAUCUUUUUGUUCUUCAUUGGAUAAUUAGAGGACUUGAAUCUUUUACUUUGAAAAAAUUAGAGUGUUCAAAGCAGGCCAAUGCCUUGAAUAUAUUAGCAUGGAAUAAUAAAAUAGGACUUUGGUUCUAUUUUGUUGGUUAUUAGGACUAAAGUAAUGAUUAAUAGGGGCAGUUGGGGGCAUUAAAAUUUCGAUGUCAGAGGUGAAAUUCUUAGAUUUUCGGAAGUUUAACAUCUGCGAAAGCAUUUGCCAAGGAUGUUUUCAUUAAUCAAGAACGAAAGUCAGGGGAUCGAAGACGAUCAGAUACCGUCGUAGUCCUGACCAUAAACGAUGCCAACUAGGGAUUGGUGGAUGUUAUUUUUAUGACUUCAUCAGCAUCUUCCGAGAAAUCAAAGUUUUUGGGUUCUAGGGGGAGUAUGGUCGCAAGGCUGAAACUUAAAGGAAUUGACGGAAGGGCACCACCAGGAGUGGAGCCUGCGGCUUAAUUUGACCCAACACGGGAAAACUUACCAGGUCCAGACAUAGUAAGGAUUGACAGAUUGAGAGCUCUUUCUUGAUUCUAUGGGUGGUGGUGCAUGGCCGUUCUUAGUUGGUGGAGUGAUUUGUCUGCUUAAUUGCGAUAACGAACGAGACCUUAACCUACUAAAUAGUUACUUGAACCCUCGGUUCAAGGGCAACUUCUUAGAGGGACUAUAUAAGUCAAUUAUAUGGAAGUUUGAGGCAAUAACAGGUCUGUGAUGCCCUUAGAUGUUCUGGGCUGCACGCGCGCUACACUGACGAAUUCAAUGAGUUUGUCCUUGACUGAAAAGUCUGGGUAAUCUUUCUAACGUUCGUCGUGCUGGGGAUUGACAAUUGCAAUUAUUUGUCAUGAACGAGGAAUUCCUAGUAAGCGUGAGUCAUCAGCUCACGUUGAUUACGUCCCUGCCCUUUGUACACACCGCCCGUCGCUCCUACCGAUUGGAUGAUCCGGUGAAGCCUUCGGACUGUUGCG